This 465-nucleotide ribosomal RNA is filed under the name uncultured bacterium. RNAcentral describes it as "partial 16S ribosomal RNA". It matches the Rfam family "Bacterial small subunit ribosomal RNA", at positions 28 to 506 of the family's 1533-position model. The record is from RNAcentral.
GACGAACGCUGGCGGCGUGCUUAACACAUGCAAGUCGAACGAUGAAGCCUAGCUUGCUGGGUGGAUUAGUGGCGAACGGGUGAGUAACACGUGAGUAACCUGCCCCUUACUCUGGGAUAAGCGCUGGAAACGGCGUCUAAUACUGGAUAUUACCUUUCAUCGCAUGGUGUUUGGUGGAAAGAUUUUUCGGUUUGGGAUGGACUCGCGGCCUAUCAGCUUGAUGGUGAGGUAGUGGCUCACCAUGGCGACGACGGGUAGCCGGCCUGAGAGGGUGACCGGCCACAAGGGGAAUGAGACACGGCCCAGACCCCUACGGGGGGCAGGAGUGGGGAAUAUUGAACAAUGGGCGAAAGCCUGAUGCAGCAACGCCGGGUGGGGGAUGACGGCCUUGGGGUUGUAAACCUUUUUUGGGGGGGAAGAAGCGUAAGUGGCGGUCCCAACAGAAAAAGCCCCGGCUAACUACGU